Molecule: ribosomal RNA, 484 nt
Filed under: uncultured bacterium
Lineage: Bacteria
Description: partial 16S ribosomal RNA
Rfam family: Bacterial small subunit ribosomal RNA
Source: RNAcentral
GAUGAACGCUGGCGGCGUGCUUAACACAUGCAAGUCGAACGGUGAAGCAGGAGCUUGCUCUUGUGGAUCAGUGGCGAACGGGUGAGUAACACGUGAGCAACCUGCCCCUGACUCUGGGAUAAGCGCUGGAAACGGCGUCUAAUACCGGAUAUGUGAUGUGACCGCAUGGUCUGCAUCUGGAAAGAAUUUCGGUUGGGGAUGGGCUCGCGGCCUAUCAGCUUGUUGGUGAGGUAAUGGCUCACCAAGGCGUCGACGGGUAGCCGGCCUGAGAGAGUGACCGGCCACACUGGGACUGAGACACGGCCCAGACUCCUACGGGAGGCAGGAGUGGGGAAUAUUGCACAAUGGGCGGAAGCCUGAUGCGGCAACGCCGCGUGAGGGAUGACGGCCUUCGGGUUGUAAACCUCUUUUAGCAGGGAAGAAGCGAAAGUGACGGUACCUGCAGAAAAAGCACCGGCUAACUACGUGCCAGCAGCCGCGGUAA